UAAAAACCUUUAAGGAAGGAGAUUCCACCACCUCCCUAGGUAACCUAUUCCAGUGCUUCACCACCCUCCUAGUGAAAUAGUUUUUCCUACUAUCCAAUCGAGACCUACCCCACUGCAACUUGAGACCAUUGCUCCUUGUUCUGUCAUCUGCCACCACUAAGAACAGCAGAACUCCAUCCUGUUUGGAACCUCGCUUCAGGAGAGCUCUCCCCGAGCGAUAAAGCAUAUCUACACUGCCUAUGUCACAGCACUGCCGCAGCCGCACUGUAACCCUCCAGGUCCUGACCAGGUGCUGGUUUGCUGGAUGAGCUGUUCCACUACCUCCAACAGUCAUCGCUGUUGGCUGCCACCCUGGCCCAGAGAUCAAGCUACCGAGACAUACAAGGUGAAAGAAGAUGAGCAGUGAAACCAAGUUCAUGUGACCUGCAGCGGCUGCAUAGCUAAGUGGGGUCAUUCCAUUUUCAGAUGUCCCAUCCAGAGCAGCUCCAAAUUCCACCAGAAGAGUGACCAUUUCUUCAUGUCCCAGCUCCGGAUUCUUCAAGGUUUCUUCAAUCAUUUGAAACAGCCAGUCUCUUCCGACAAACACAGAGUCUGUUGUUAUGCUUGGCACUUCAAACAAUAGUGGCUUUAGCAAAAUGUCUUGAGGCUUAUAGGGGGCAAAACGUGCUGAGAAGUGGAAAGGAAAAAAGUUUAUUAGAAGAAAAUAUUGUUAUGCAAUGAAAAUCUAUUUACUGGCAGCGGUAUUUAAGAAGACAAUUUUAAUAACUUUUGCUCACAAAGAUAAACUGAAUAUGAAUGAAG
Gopherus flavomarginatus (Mexican gopher tortoise) is the source of this 801-nucleotide long non-coding RNA. RefSeq lists it as uncharacterized. NCBI's taxonomy places the organism in Eukaryota, Metazoa, Chordata, Testudines, Testudinidae. The record is from RefSeq and is a predicted model, not a curated record. The transcript is spliced from 6 exons.